GAGAAACUACGCCACCUCCCCUGCAGCCGAGAGCACGCAGCACCCUAGUGUGACAAGUGGGCGACGUCGGGGGGGCAGGGAGCGAGGGUCCUCGACUGUGGCCAGCGGACCCCACCGCCCACCGCCCGGAGGCCAACUUUUAGUCGGCAGCCCCGCACCUGUCUCCUGAGGCUCCAUCGCUCCUCGUGAUCAUCCGAGGGAAAUUCUCGAAGAACUUGCUCCACGAAUCUACGUGCGCAUCAUUUUCCCUCUGGCGCCGGGCUCGGGAGGAAGGAACCAGAAAGGGAUCGCAGCGGCGUGUGCGCAGCCCAGAGACAACACUGUGGGGAGCAUUGCUGUGCUGUAUUUUUCUUGCUCGAAGGACUGUGUCUGUCGAGGAGCUUCCUGGAAUGGAACUGCUUAUUCACCGGCCAUGUGCACAUUGGGGGGAUGUGUGCUGCCAAAGUCCCCUCAAGGUAGUUGAUGCGUGCUUUCAAAGUCAAGUGCAGUUCACCGUGUAUGGGCAGUGCUCCAAAACUUUGUUAAAGGAGCAUCAUAAAGUUAAUUCUAGUCAAAAAGUUUUAAUAUAGAAAAGUAACAGAGGCAGGGGUUACAGCUCCAUGGUAGAGUGCCUGCCUGGUAUGCAUGAGGCUCUGGGUUCGAUCCCCACCACUCCCAAAAGAAGAGGAAAAAAAAAAAUAGCAGAAGUCAUGGCUUCUACCUUAAAUAACUUCAACCUAGUUUUGGAAAUCAGGUUGAAAAACGCUAAAAAAUUCUCACGUGGUAGUAGACCUGGAGUUGAGCCUGAGAGACAGUGCUGAGUGGAGAGGACCAGCAAGGGCAUUGCAUGUAGCCCAGGCCACAGUGACGAACAGUGUCACUGUGUCAGGGAGGUCAGUGACAUAAGCAGCCUCGACCGAAAUGGCGUUUGUGUUCAAAGAUCCAACCAGGGCCCUAGGCAGACGGCUGUGAGAGGAGACCUGAAGUCAGACUUGGGAUUGGAUGCACAUGGCAGCAGUGUCCUCUGAGCCAGUGGUCACUUGCUGUGUAGCAGACUCCCUCAGAUGUAGCAAUUUCAAACGGUAGCACGUUUACUAGCUCUAAAGGCUUUUGUGCUCAGGUAGCCGGGAGCAGGUUACCAUGGUAUUUGGGGCUUGGGGUCUUUUCUGAGGCUGAAGUCAAAACAUUAGCCAGGCUGCAGUUGGGAGGGUGUGGCUGGGCUGGAGGAGCCACUUCUGUGCCAGUUGUUGGUAGGAGGUCUCACUUCCUCCCUGUGUGAGUCUCUGCAUGGGCUGAGUAUCUGUUCUGGCAGCUUCACUCUCCAGAUCCACCCAGGCAAACAAACAAGGCAGAAGCUCCAAUGCCCUUGGACCUCACCCGGGAACCAGCACACCGUCACUCUUGCCAUACUGUAUUCCUUAGAUGCAUGCUGUAAAUUAAGCCUAAGUUCAGAAGUUUCACCUUUUAAAGAGGGUGUAUCAGGUGGGCACAGUGACUCAUGCCUGUAAUCCCAGCACUCAGGAGGCAGAAACUGGGAGGAUCUUGGGUCAAGGCCAGCCUAAGCAGAAAGUUAACAAGACUCCACCUUGA
Castor canadensis (American beaver) is the source of this 1569-nucleotide long non-coding RNA. The record is from Ensembl. NCBI's taxonomy places the organism in Eukaryota, Metazoa, Chordata, Mammalia, Rodentia, Castoridae.